This 422-nucleotide ribosomal RNA is filed under the name uncultured Ruminococcus sp. RNAcentral's name for it is "bacterial SSU rRNA". It matches the Rfam family "Bacterial small subunit ribosomal RNA", at positions 355 to 794 of the family's 1533-position model. Lineage: Bacteria; Bacillati; Bacillota; Clostridia; Eubacteriales; Oscillospiraceae. The record is from RNAcentral.
UGGGGAAUAUUGCACAAUGGGCGAAAGCCUGAUGCAGCGACGCCGCGUGAGCGAAGAAGUAUCUCGGUAUGUAAAGCUCUAUCAGCAGGGAAGAAAAUGACGGUACCUGACUAAGAAGCCCCGGCUAACUACGUGCCAGCAGCCGCGGUAAUACGUAGGGGGCAAGCGUUAUCCGGAUUUACUGGGUGUAAAGGGAGCGUAGACGGAGAGGCAAGUCUGAUGUGAAAGCCCGGGGCUCAACCCCGGGACUGCAUUGGAAACUGUUUAUCUAGAGUGCCGGAGGGGUAAGUGGAAUUCCUAGUGUAGCGGUGAAAUGCGUAGAUAUUAGGAGGAACACCAGUGGCGAAGGCGGCUUACUGGACGGUAACUGACGUUGAGGCUCGAAAGCGUGGGGAGCAAACAGGAUUAGAUACCCUGGUAGU